This 66-nucleotide transfer RNA is filed under the name Sclerodermus sichuanensis. RNAcentral's name for it is "tRNA-Glu". The record is from RNAcentral. Lineage: Eukaryota; Metazoa; Arthropoda; Insecta; Hymenoptera; Bethylidae. RNAcentral also lists the same sequence under 2 other names.
AAGAUUUUAGUUUAAUAAAAACAUUAAAAUUUCAAUUUAAAAUUAAUUAUCUUUAAUUAAAUCUUA